GACGAACGCUGGCGGCGUGCUUAACACAUGCAAGUCGAACGAUGAAACCUAGCUUGCUAGGUCGAUUAGUGGCGAACGGGUGAGUAACACGUGACUAACCUGCCCCUUUCUCUGGGAUAACGCUCCGAAAGGAGUGCUAAUACCGGAUACUCACACCGAGGCACAUGCCUUGGCGUGGAAAGUUUUUCGGAAAGGGAUGGAGUCGCGGCCUAUCAGCUUGUUGGUGAGGUAACGGCUCACCAAGGCGACGACGGGUCGCCGGCCUGAGAGGGCGACCGGCCACACUGGGACUGAGACACUGCCCAGACUCCUACGGGAGGCAGCAGUGGGGAAUAUUGCACAAUGGGCGCAAGCCUGAUGCAGCGACGCCGCGUGAGGGAUGAAGGUCUUCGGAUUGUAAACCUCUUUCAGUAGGGACGAAGCGAAAGUGGCGGUACCUAAAGAAGAAGCACCGGCUAACUACGUGCCAGCCGCCGCGGUAA
Molecule: ribosomal RNA, 482 nt
Filed under: uncultured bacterium
Lineage: Bacteria
Description: partial 16S ribosomal RNA
Rfam family: Bacterial small subunit ribosomal RNA
Source: RNAcentral